Molecule: long non-coding RNA, 262 nt
Filed under: Hordeum vulgare
Lineage: Eukaryota; Viridiplantae; Streptophyta; Magnoliopsida; Poales; Poaceae
Description: long non-coding RNA (HVUL_LNC013545)
Source: RNAcentral
UAAUACAAUAGAUAUGGAAUUCAAUCCAAAACCUACAACCCAGCAUUUUUGCAUAAACUAAUUGGCCACAUGUAUUUUUGUUGCAGCAACGGCGCAGCGGGUCUUCUUUAACCUAUCCCCGGCUACAUGACCCUGGCCUACAGGAUUUGACAUCAAUACAUUCUCCUUUUUCCCUCAUUUUUCAAGCAAGUUCUCCCCACUGAAGAUGGCGGUGUUCCUAUAGCUUCAUGUCGGCUCUCAUCUAUUGCGUCACAGAAAGAGG